RNAcentral lists this non-coding RNA (29 nucleotides) under Cricetulus griseus (Chinese hamster). Lineage: Eukaryota; Metazoa; Chordata; Mammalia; Rodentia; Cricetidae. The record is from RNAcentral.
AAAAAGGAAAAGCCUGAGUCUGUAGUCUU